AGAGUUUGAUCCUGGCUCAGGACGAACGCUGGCGGCGUGCCUAACACAUGCAAGUCGAACGAAGCAUAGCAAUAUGCUUAGUGGCGGACGGGUGAGUAACGCGUGAACAAUCUGCCCCGUACAAAGGAAUAGCCUCGGGAAACCGGGAUUAAAACCGUAUGACACUUUAGUACCGCAUGGUAUUAAAGUCAAAUUGAUUAAGAGGUAUGGGAUGAGUUCGCGUCUGAUUAGCUAGUUGGUAAGGUAAUGGCUUACCAAGGCGACGAUCAGUAGCCGGCCUGAGAGGGUGAACGGCCACACUGGAACUGAGACACGGUCCAGACUCCUACGGGAGGCAGCAGUGGGGAAUAUUGCACAAUGGAGGAAACUCUGAUGCAGCGACGCCGCGUGAGUGAAGAAGGUCUUCGGAUCGUAAAACUCUGUCCUUGGUGAAGAUAAUGACGGUAGCCAAGGAGGAAGCCCCGGCUAACUACGUGCCAGCAGCCGCGGUAAUACGUAGGGGGCGAGCGUUGUCCGGAUUUACUGGGCGUAAAGGGUGAGUAGGCGGUUGUAUAUGUCAGGUGUAAAAGGCUAUGGCUUAACCAUGGUUAGCACUUGAAACUGUACAACUUGAGUGCAGGAGAGGUAAGUGGAAUUCCUAGUGUAGCGGUGAAAUGCGUAGAUAUUAGGAGGAACACCAGUGGCGAAGGCGACUUACUGGACUGUAACUGACGCUGAGUCACGAAAGCGUGGGUAGCAAACAGGAUUAGAUACCCUGGUAGUCCACGCUGUAAACGAUGAGUGCUAGGUGUUGGGUAGC
Molecule: ribosomal RNA, 799 nt
Filed under: uncultured bacterium
Lineage: Bacteria
Description: bacterial SSU rRNA
Rfam family: Bacterial small subunit ribosomal RNA
Source: RNAcentral